GGCCGCCACACGACGCUGCCGCAGCCAUGGUUUUUGAAGACGAGAGCAGCGACGAGAACUCAAGCCUCCCGUACAUGCACUCCGAAACCUCCACCGAUGGGCUCAAUCAGGUGCCUUUCUCUCUUCAGGACCCGGAUUACAAUGGUCUUGAGCUAGAUCUGAUAGUGUUGUGAGAGAAGCAUGGGAAGCCAUCAGAGAGGCUUGUUGCAUUUGAAGGAACAAUGACUGGGAGAAGGUUCUUAGCAUGUGCAGAGCCGGAAGGUCAGAAUUGUGGGUUUGUUCAGUGGGUUGAUGAGCAGUGGCCCCCAACAAUGGAGAAUGCAUU
Molecule: long non-coding RNA, 325 nt
Organism: Triticum dicoccoides
Lineage: Eukaryota; Viridiplantae; Streptophyta; Magnoliopsida; Poales; Poaceae
Exons: 3
Source: RefSeq, a predicted model, not a curated record